This 1171-nucleotide ribosomal RNA is filed under the name uncultured Pseudomonas sp. Its description in RNAcentral is "bacterial SSU rRNA". It matches the Rfam family "Bacterial small subunit ribosomal RNA", at positions 8 to 1181 of the family's 1533-position model. The record is from RNAcentral. Lineage: Bacteria; Pseudomonadati; Pseudomonadota; Gammaproteobacteria; Pseudomonadales; Pseudomonadaceae.
AGAGUUUGAUCCUGGCUCAGAUUGAACGCUGGCGGCAGGCCUAACACAUGCAAGUCGAGCGGUAGAGAGAAGCUUGCUUCUCUUGAGAGCGGCGGACGGGUGAGUAAUGCCUAGGAAUCUGCCUGGUAGUGGGGGAUAACGUUCGGAAACGGACGCUAAUACCGCAUACGUCCUACGGGAGAAAGCAGGGGACCUUCGGGCCUUGCGCUAUCAGAUGAGCCUAGGUCGGAUUAGCUAGUUGGUGGGGUAAUGGCUCACCAAGGCGACGAUCCGUAACUGGUCUGAGAGGAUGAUCAGUCACACUGGAACUGAGACACGGUCCAGACUCCUACGGGAGGCAGCAGUGGGGAAUAUUGGACAAUGGGCGAAAGCCUGAUCCAGCCAUGCCGCGUGUGUGAAGAAGGUCUUCGGAUUGUAAAGCACUUUAAGUUGGGAGGAAGGGCAGUAAAUUGAUACUUUGCUGUUUUGACGUUACCGACAGAAUAAGCACCGGCUAACUCUGUGCCAGCAGCCGCGGUAAUACAGAGGGUGCAAGCGUUAAUCGGAAUUACUGGGCGUAAAGCGCGCGUAGGUGGUUAGUUAAGUUGGAUGUGAAAUCCCCGGGCUCAACCUGGGAACUGCAUUCAAAACUGACUGACUAGAGUAUGGUAGAGGGUGGUGGAAUUUCCUGUGUAGCGGUGAAAUGCGUAGAUAUAGGAAGGAACACCAGUGGCGAAGGCGACCACCUGGACUGAUACUGACACUGAGGUGCGAAAGCGUGGGGGAGCAAACAGGAUUAGAUACCCUGGUAGUCCACGCCGUAAACGAUGUCAACUAGCCGUUGGGAGCCUUGAGCUCUUAGUGGCGCAGCUAACGCAUUAAGUUGACCGCCUGGGGAGUACGGCCGCAAGGUUAAAACUCAAAUGAAUUGACGGGGGCCCGCACAAGCGGUGGAGCAUGUGGUUUAAUUCGAAGCAACGCGAAGAACCUUACCAGGCCUUGACAUCCAAUGAACUUUCUAGAGAAUAGAUUGGUGCCUUCGGGACAUUGAGACAGUGCUGCAUGCUGUCGUCAGCUCGUGUCGUGAAAUGUGGGCUAAGUCCGUUACGAGCGCACCUUGUUCCUAGCUUACAGCACGUAAUGUGGCCCCCUAAGAACUGCCGGGGACUAACCGGAAGGAAAGAGUGGGAUC